GGACUUGUAAAGUUGCAUGCGUCUGGGAUCUUAUAAUAUAUUUUAUAGUAGUAUAAAGGUGAAUGUUUUGCUGAGUCAGGUUCUUUGCGCCAUUCUACAACCUGUUUAUAUGGUUUCACGUAGGGCGAUACAAAUGUAAACAUCAAUGACGCAACCUGCGACAUUAACAUCAGGUUGCCCGGAUGAUGAACCACCCGCCACAAUCUUCCUCGCAGGAUAUAAAACGAUCAGAAGGGAGUUGAAAGCAGAUCAUUGCAAAUCCUAAACGGAGGAAGAAAGCGGCAGGAUAUUGCUGUUCGCGAGGGUGUACCAAGAAUGGCAGACACAUGAACCAUUCCCCUCCACUACCCCUCGCAGUAGAUUGAGAACUCAAAAUCAGUUAAAACAACAUAUGGCACUACCACCUAGCAGUAGAUUGAGAACUCAAAACCAGUCAAAACAACAUAUGGUGGUGAUAUAUUCAGGGACAUAUGGGAAGUUCGGUAAGCGGAAUGCCCAUGGAAUCAAUUGGCAACCCGACCAGUUUUACUUCCACGUUAAUUAAUUUGGCUACAGCCUGUAAUGGCAAUCAAGACGAGGGCAAAGGUAGAACCCUAAUCUUGGUACAAUGCAGCCUUAAGGAGCUGUGGUUCACAGUUUCAAUCUAAGAAAAAAAUUACCCCAUACUAUAAACAAUGCCGAUCUUAGGUAUAGAUGAUGCUGAUAUUGUUCGUAGGUGGUAAAGUGUCAGUCAAUGCUUUCUAGGCAAAUGCAUAUCCAUCAAAACGCAGCGUAAUUCACUGCUCGGAGCCCAGUGCAUUUCAUCAUUCAUAAUACCAUAACAAAACAGAUGUUUGAUUAAAAGAAUCAAACACAGCCUAAGAUCUCACAUGAAAGGAUGAAAAAUAAAUGUCAUCUAAGAUGAAGGAAAAAAAAGAAGAGUCAGUCUAAGGCCCUCAGGGAUCAUGCUUGUGAUUUUCAUCAAGGAAGAAAAUUCUCAGGUCUCAAAGAUUCAUGCCAUCACGGGUCAGCCUAUACCAAAGAAACCAAGUAAAAAUGAAGGGAAAAAAGAAACUCAAUCAAGGGAUAAUCUUGGAGAGUGUUAUUCGCUGCGCCUCACGGAUGAGUAGGCGAAGCGACUCAAGAUCUCCGGGAUCUAGCCCCUCUGGAAAAUUCGAGCCCCGUAUAGGAAAAUCUGAGGGAUCGAGUCAUCAAGGGGCUGUUUAGACUAGUUCGAAAUACUCCUAAUCCUUUCAUUUUUCUAGUUUAGUCAUAACUAAUUCCCGGCGAAAAAAUUAAACUAGUUCGAAAUACUUCUAAUCCUUUCAUCUUUCUAGUUUAGUCAUCUAAAUAGAACUGUUUGUUAGCAUUUUCGUUUAGCCAGUGGGAGUCGGAGUCCCACUACGUGGGCGCAGCCUAACUACACUAGUGUUGAAUACUAGAAAGAAAAUAAUAGAGAAAAACCUAAAGAACAAAGAAAAAGAGAGCGUAGAGAAAAGCUGAGAACAAAAACUUUCGCAUGUUAAAUAAUAUAAAGAAAACAAUCAAGAAAAACGUAUGAACAAAAAAACGUACGCU
Molecule: long non-coding RNA, 1557 nt
Filed under: Oryza sativa (Asian cultivated rice)
Lineage: Eukaryota; Viridiplantae; Streptophyta; Magnoliopsida; Poales; Poaceae
Description: long non-coding RNA (OSAT_LNC000922)
Source: RNAcentral